This 443-nucleotide ribosomal RNA is filed under the name uncultured bacterium. RNAcentral's name for it is "partial 16S ribosomal RNA". It matches the Rfam family "Bacterial small subunit ribosomal RNA", at positions 338 to 795 of the family's 1533-position model. The record is from RNAcentral.
CCUACGGGAGGCUGCAGUGGGGAAUAUUGGGCAAUGGGCGCAAGCCUGACCCAGCAACGCCGCGUGAAGGAAGAAGGCUCUCGGGUUGUAAACUUCUUUUAUCAGGGACGAAGCAAGUGACGGUACCUGAUGAAUAAGCCACGGCUAACUACGUGCCAGCAGCCGCGGUAAUACGUAGGUGGCAAGCGUUAUCCGGAUUUACUGGGUGUAAAGGGCGUGUAGGCGGGAAAGCAAGUCAGAUGUGAAAACCAUGGGCUCAACCUGUGGCCUGCAUUUGAAACUGUUUUUCUUGAGUACUGGAGAGGCAGACGGAAUUCCUAGUGUAGCGGUGAAAUGCGUAGAUAUUAGGAGGAACACCAGUGGCGAAGGCGGUCUGCUGGCACAUAACUGACGCUGAGGAGCGAAAGCGUGGGUAGCAAACAGGAUUAGAUACCCCUGUAGUC